GCUUGGUGCUUGCACUGGGUGGAUGAGUGGCGAACGGGUGAGUAAUACGUGAGUAACCUGCCCUUGACUCUGGGAUAAGCCUGGGAAACUGGGUCUAAUACUGGAUAUGACAUGUCACCGCAUGGUGGUGUGUGGAAAGGGUUUUACUGGUUUUGGAUGGGCUCACGGCCUAUCAGCUUGUUGGUGGGGUAAUGGCUCACCAAGGCGACGACGGGUAGCCGGCCUGAGAGGGUGACCGGCCACACUGGGACUGAGACACGGCCCAGACUCCUACGGGAGGCAGCAGUGGGGAAUAUUGCACAAUGGGCGAAAGCCUGAUGCAGCGACGCCGCGUGAGGGAUGACGGCCUUCGGGUUGUAAACCUCUUUCAGCACGGAAGAAGCGAAAGUGACGGUACGUGCAGAAGAAGCGCCGGCUAACUACGUGCCAGCAGCCGCGGUAAUACGUAGGGCGCAAGCGUUGUCCGGAAUUAUUGGGCGUAAAGAGCUCGUAGGCGGUUUGUCGCGUCUGCUGUGAAAGCCCGGGGCUUAACCCCGGGUGUGCAGUGGGUACGGGCAGACUUGAGUGC
This 568-nucleotide ribosomal RNA is filed under the name Kocuria sp. Its description in RNAcentral is "bacterial SSU rRNA". It matches the Rfam family "Bacterial small subunit ribosomal RNA", at positions 71 to 649 of the family's 1533-position model. The record is from RNAcentral. Lineage: Bacteria; Bacillati; Actinomycetota; Actinomycetes; Micrococcales; Micrococcaceae.